UUACGGGAGGCAGCAGUGGGGAAUCUUGGUCAAUGGGCGCAAGCCUGAACCAGCGACGCCGCGUGAGUGAUGAAGGCCUUCGGGUUGUAAAGCUCUGUGGGGAGGGACGAAAGACUGAGGUCUAAUAGGCUUCAGGUUGACGGUACCUCCUUAGCAAGCACCGGCUAACUCUGUGCCAGCAGCCGCGGUAAGACAGAGGGUGCAAACGUUGCUCGGAAUCACUGGGCGUAAAGGGCGUGUAGGCGGAUCGGCAAGUCGGGCGUGAAAUCCCUGGGCUCAACCCAGGAACUGCACUCGAAACUGCCUUUCUUGAGUGCCGGAGAGGAAAGCGGAAUACCUGGUGUAGAGGUGAAAUUCGUAGAUAUCAGGUGGAACACCAGUGGCGAAGGCGGCUUUCUGGACGGUAACUGACGCUGAGACGCGAAAGCGUGGGGAGCAAACAGGAUUAGAUACCCCGGUAGUCC
RNAcentral lists this ribosomal RNA (464 nucleotides) under uncultured bacterium. RNAcentral describes it as "bacterial SSU rRNA". It matches the Rfam family "Bacterial small subunit ribosomal RNA", at positions 339 to 796 of the family's 1533-position model. The record is from RNAcentral.